Molecule: transfer RNA, 69 nt
Filed under: Parapolybia nodosa
Lineage: Eukaryota; Metazoa; Arthropoda; Insecta; Hymenoptera; Vespidae
Description: tRNA-Met
Source: RNAcentral
AUAUAAAUAAGCUAAGUAACUAAGCUAGUAGGUUCAUACCCUAAAUAUAUAAAUAAUUUAUUUUAUAUA